UAUUAAUUUAUACUUUCUCUACGGUAGUUCUAGUACAAUCCUCUACACCUCUUUUUUUUAGUGAACCAAUACCAUAGAUAGUGUAGAAGAGGGAUUGGAAACGGAUCGCGAUUGUUGGCCAGUCCAGGCUGCGCAGGAAGUUAAUUCACUGCACCGGAAGCUAAUAAUAUUUUCUUCACAUCACCUUGGGAUGGCAGCACAGAUUACAGAGCAGACAGACAGCACAUGAGACUUGAGAAAAGCUAGCUAAAGAGCAGUGAUGAGCAUGGAAGGGAGAAACGCUCUACUGAGAUCGAGAGAAGCCACUAAGCCUCUGUUUGUGAAGACGAAGGAUUCAAGAUAUUUAGCAGUGCCAGCAUCAUGUAACUGCACUGACUUUGAGCAACAAAGUUGUAGCUAUGAAUGGAUGAUUUACGAGGGAAAUACAAUUUAAUAGCUUGAUCACUUUAGCGUAUUGUGUAUUCACACUCUUAUACUCUUAGUAUUAUAGUUGAUUCGAUUCAUAA
Halichondria panicea is the source of this 506-nucleotide long non-coding RNA. RefSeq lists it as uncharacterized. The record is from RefSeq and is a predicted model, not a curated record. Lineage: Eukaryota; Metazoa; Porifera; Demospongiae; Suberitida; Halichondriidae. The transcript is spliced from 2 exons.